This 253-nucleotide ribosomal RNA is filed under the name uncultured bacterium. RNAcentral's name for it is "partial 16S ribosomal RNA". It matches the Rfam family "Bacterial small subunit ribosomal RNA", at positions 524 to 776 of the family's 1533-position model. The record is from RNAcentral.
UACGUAGGGGGCAAGCGUUGUCCGGAAUCAUUGGGCGUAAAGAGCGUGUAGGCGGCUCGGUAAGUCUGCUGUGAAAGUCCAGGGCUCAACCCUGGAAUGCCAGUGGAAACUGCCAAGCUAGAGUCCGGAAGAGGCGAGUGGAACUCCUGGUGUAGCGGUGAAAUGCGCAGAUAUCAGGAAGAACACCAAUGGCGAAGGCAGCUCGCUGGGACGCGACUGACGCUGAGACGCGAAAGCGUGGGGAGCAAACAGG